UACAGAGGCCUCGAGCGUUGUUCGGAAUUACUGGGCGUAAAGGGAAUGUAGGUGGUUAUGUAAGUCAGAUGUGAAAGCCCUGGGCUUAACCCGGGAAGUGCAUUUGAUACUGCAUAGCUGGAGUGCGAGAGAGGAAAGCGGAAUUCCAGGUGUAGGGGUGAAAUCCGUAGAUAUCUGGAGGAAUACCGAUGGCGAAGGCAGCUUUCUGGCUCGUAACUGACACUGAGAUUCGAAAGCAUGGGUAGCAAACAGG
This 253-nucleotide ribosomal RNA is filed under the name uncultured bacterium. RNAcentral's name for it is "partial 16S ribosomal RNA". It matches the Rfam family "Bacterial small subunit ribosomal RNA", at positions 524 to 776 of the family's 1533-position model. The record is from RNAcentral.